This is an RNA transcript of Vicia villosa (hairy vetch), 4638 nucleotides long. RefSeq lists it as uncharacterized. The record is from RefSeq and is a predicted model, not a curated record. The transcript is spliced from 2 exons. NCBI's taxonomy places the organism in Eukaryota, Viridiplantae, Streptophyta, Magnoliopsida, Fabales, Fabaceae.
UCUACACAUUCGUUAGCGUGAAAAUCAGUUUCAAGAAGAAACAAAAUCAAAAUCCCGAAAACAAUCUUCUCCCCUUUCUCAAAACACACAUCUAGGGUUUCGAAAUCAAACCCGAACCAUAACCAUGGCGUCGAACGACGACGCAGAGAUGAUCAAGAAAACUCAAAACGAGCGUAAGAAGAUCGAACACCAACUCGCAUCUCUCAAUUCACUCACCUUCGACAAAGAUCUCUACGGCGCAAACGAUAAAGAUUCAUACAACACUUCAAUUCCCGCUAACGAAGACGAAGAAAUUCUUGAACCUAUUGGUAAUAAUGUAGCUUCUCGUAGAAUAGCCUCAAUCACCGGCCCUAAAUCUCGCUUCAUAGACAUGCCGUCCGCCGACACUGAUAAUGACGGCGUCGACGCAGUUAUAGGGUUUCGGAAGCCGCGGAGCAUUGCUGAUCGGGAAGAUGAGUACAAGAAACAGAGGUUGAAUCAGCUUCUUUCGCCGGAUAGACAUGAUGCUUUUGCGGCGGGAGAGAAGACGCCGGAUCCGUCUAAGAGGACUUAUGCUGAUAUUAUGAGAGAGGGAGCGUUGAAGAGGGAGAAGGAGGAGACAUUGAGGGUGAUUUCGAAGAAGAAGAAGGAAGAGGAAGAAGCUGGGAAAGGUGGUUCUGGUCCUGGUCCGGAGAAGUCUCAUGAACAGCAACAGAAGAGGAGGAAUAGGUGGGACCAAUCUCAGGAUGAAGGUGGUGGUAAGAAAGCUAGAACUUCUGAUUGGGAUGCUCCGGAUUCGAUGACACCGGGACGGUGGGAUGUGACUCCGACUCCCGGGAGAGUUAUUGAUGCGACUCCGGGGAGGAGGAAUAGGUGGGAUGAGACUCCGACUCCGGGGAGGUUGGUGGAUUCUGAUGCUACUCCUGGUGGUGGUGCUACACCUGGUGCAACUGCUUGGGAUGCUACUCCUAAGCUUUCUGGGAUGGCGACUCCGACUCCUAAGAGACAAAAAUCGAGAUGGGAUGAAACGCCUGCUAGUGCUACUAUGGAAAGUGCGACUCCGUUACCUGGUGCCAUUCCUGCUGGUGCUUAUACACCUGGUGUGACUCCUGUUGGUGGUUUUGAGUUGGCUACUCCUACUCCUGGUGCUUUACAAGGUUCGUUUACGCCGGAGCAGUAUAAUUUGUUGAGGUGGGAGAGGGAUAUUGAAGAGAGGAAUCGUCCCUUGACUGAUGAGGAGCUUGAUGCUAUGUUUCCACAAGAAGGGUAUAAGGUUUUGGAUCCUCCAGCGUCUUAUGUGCCUAUUAGAACGCCUGCAAGGAAGCUUCUUGCGACUCCUACUCCGAUGGGGACUCCGCUUUAUCAAAUUCCUGAAGAGAAUCGCGGUCAGCAGUUUGAUGUUCCCAAGGAAGCUCCUGGUGGUUUGCCUUUCAUGAAACUGGAAGAUUAUCAGUAUUUUGGGGCUUUGUUGAAUGAAGAAAAUGAAGAGGAAUUGUCUCCAGAUGAGCAGAAAGAAAGGAAGAUUAUGAAGCUUCUGCUUAAAGUGAAGAACGGUUCGCCACCACAGAGGAAAACUGCUUUGAGACAGUUAACUGAUAAGGCUCGUGAGUUUGGUGCUGGACCUUUGUUUAACCGAAUUCUGCCGUUGCUUAUGCAGCCUACUCUGGAGGACCAGGAGAGACAUCUUUUGGUUAAGGUAAUUGAUAGAGUUCUUUAUAAGUUGGAUGAAUUGGUUCGCCCCUAUGUGCAUAAGGUUCUUGUUGUUAUUGAGCCCCUUUUGAUUGACGAAGACUACUAUGCCCGUGUUGAGGGGAGGGAAAUAAUAUCUAAUCUUAGUAAAGCUGCUGGACUGGCCACUAUGAUUGCUGCCAUGAGGCCCGACAUAGAUAACAUUGAUGAAUAUGUUAGGAACACUACUGCUAGGGCUUUUAGUGUUGUUGCAUCUGCUCUUGGUAUUCCUGCAUUGUUGCCCUUCUUGAAAGCUGUUUGUCAGAGUAAGAAAUCUUGGCAAGCUCGGCACACUGGGAUUAAGAUUGUGCAGCAGAUUGCCAUUUUAAUUGGUUGUGCUGUGUUGCCCCAUUUGAGAUCUCUUGUGGGGAUUAUAGAGCAUGGUCUGAGUGAUGAGAAUCAGAAGGUGAGGACAAUCACUGCAUUGUCUCUCGCUGCUCUUGCAGAGGCAUCUGCUCCUUAUGGUAUUGAAAGUUUUGACUCGGUGUUGAAGCCAUUGUGGAAGGGUAUUAGGCAACACCGUGGUAAGGUGCUGGCUGCAUUUUUGAAAGCAAUUGGGUUUAUCAUUCCGUUGAUGGAAGCCUUAUAUGCCAGCUAUUAUACUAAGGAAGUCAUGCUUAUUCUGAUUCGGGAGUUCCAGUCACCUGAUGAAGAAAUGAAGAAAAUUGUUCUGAAAGUGGUGAAGCAGUGUGUGAGCACUGAGGGUGUGGAAGCUGAGUAUAUUAGAACAGAUAUCCUCCCUGAGUUUUUCAGAAAUUUCUGGGUUAGGAGGAUGGCUUUGGAUAGAAGAAACUACAAGCAACUUGUGGAGACGACGGUUGAGAUAGCCAACAAGGUCGGUGUUGCAGAUAUUGUUGGAAGAGUUGUUGAAGAUCUUAAAGAUGAAAGUGAACCUUACAGGCGAAUGGUCAUGGAAACUAUUGAGAAGGUGGUCACUAACUUGGGAUCAUCUGAUAUAGAAGCACGGUUGGAAGAGCUUUUGAUUGACGGUAUUCUCUACGCCUUCCAAGAGCAGACCAGUGAUGAUGCUAAUGUGAUGCUUAAUGGGUUCGGCGCGGUUGUGAACUCGCUUGGGCUGAGAGUAAAACCAUACCUUCCUCAGAUUUGUGGUACCAUCAAGUGGAGGUUAAACAAUAAGAGUGCAAAGGUGAGGCAGCAAGCAGCAGAUCUCAUUUCCAGGAUUGCUGUUGUCAUGAAGCAGUGCCACGAGGAACAAUUGAUGGGUCAUCUUGGUGUUGUCUUGUAUGAGUAUCUUGGAGAAGAGUAUCCGGAAGUUCUAGGUUCAAUUUUGGGUGCUCUCAAGUCGAUUGUUAAUGUUAUUGGUAUGACAAAAAUGACUCCACCUAUUAAAGAUUUGCUUCCCAGGUUGACUCCAAUUUUGAAGAACAGGCAUGAAAAAGUCCAGGAGAACUGUAUUGACCUUGUCGGUAGGAUUGCUGAUCGUGGGGCUGAGUUUGUACCAGCCAGGGAAUGGAUGAGGAUCUGUUUUGAGCUUCUUGAGAUGCUGAAGGCACACAAGAAGGGAAUUCGUAGAGCUACAGUGAACACUUUUGGAUAUAUUGCGAAAGCCAUCGGACCACAGGAUGUCUUGGCAACUCUAUUGAAUAAUCUCAAGGUGCAGGAGAGGCAGAAUCGUGUAUGCACUACAGUGGCCAUUGCCAUAGUUGCAGAAACAUGUUCACCCUUCACAGUUUUGCCAGCAUUGAUGAACGAGUACCGUGUGCCAGAGCUUAAUGUGCAAAAUGGAGUUCUCAAGUCUCUCUCCUUCCUCUUUGAGUAUAUUGGUGAAAUGGGAAAGGACUACAUCUAUGCUGUGACUCCUUUGCUCGAGGAUGCUCUUAUGGACAGGGAUUUGGUUCAUAGGCAGACAGCUGCAUCUGCCGUUAAGCACAUGGCACUGGGAGUGGCUGGUUUGGGUUGUGAGGACGCGCUGGUCCAUUUGCUGAACUAUGUCUGGCCAAACAUAUUUGAAACUUCUCCACAUGUGAUAAAUGCUGUGACGGAAGCCAUUGAAGGGAUGAGGGUCGCCUUAGGUGCUGCUGUUGUUCUUAAUUACUGUCUACAAGGGCUGUUCCACCCUGCCCGAAAAGUUAGAGAGGUGUAUUGGAAGAUCUAUAACUCGCAAUAUAUUGGAGCUCAGGAUGCUCUUGUUGCAGCAUACCCUUCUCUAGAAGACGAGCACAACAAUGUUUACAAAAGAUCGGAGUUGACGAUGUUUAUUUAGAUUGCAAUUUACACAUGUGAACUUUUGUUAGACGUUUUAAGGUAUUUGGUAAUGUCCUUAACAUCAUGGUUGAUUUUGGAUUUUAUAGCUUUACUAUUUCUCAUAGAUAUGUUGUUUUUGGAUUGUGCUAUCUAUUAUGAUUGAUUAAAUGCAAUUAUAUAAAUUUUUCUAACUACGUGUUUUGAUUUGUGCAGUUGAUUAUAGAAGGGUUGAUGGAGAAAAAUUUAGUUGGACUCUGCAGUUAUAUUAUUUCUGAUAUGAAUAUUUUCAGAAUUUUGUUUUUCUCCUGUGUUCAAUUGACGAUGAAAGCUGUAGAAAUUACUCGGCUUCGUAGUUUAUAUUUCACCAUUGAGAAGAAUAUCGAUACAUUGUUUAUAUUUUUUGUAUCACAUUCUCACAGAAAAACAUAUUAGACACUUAAUAUUUUUGUAAAUACUUAUCAUAUUAUAAUAAUACAAAUUUUAGUUUGGCUACUUUUCUUGUAUUAGAUUUGUAUUGGUGUAUCAUUAAGUAGAAGUUGGCCUCUGUCUUUUAGGGCUAGAAUUCACUCUUAGAAAAUAUCAAAAGAACACAAGCGAGCUCAGACGAAACAUGUGUGAGGUCAAGCGGCAAGACCGACACGAACUCGCUGCAUAUGCGUAUUCAAUUGAGUCUUAUUGGUAGAGUGACGUGUUAAGAUAUUAAUAAAUAUGACAAUUAAAUAUGAC